UCGUGGGCAAUCUGUAGGAGCUGCCGAAGGCUGCGAUCUUUUGAUCUUGAUCAUCGUUAUCGAUAAAAGAUCGCAGCCUGCGGCAGCUCCUACAGGGAUC
RNAcentral lists this unclassified non-coding RNA (100 nucleotides) under Pseudomonas lini. RNAcentral describes it as "microRNA mir-598". Lineage: Bacteria; Pseudomonadati; Pseudomonadota; Gammaproteobacteria; Pseudomonadales; Pseudomonadaceae. The record is from RNAcentral.